Molecule: ribosomal RNA, 405 nt
Filed under: uncultured bacterium
Lineage: Bacteria
Description: bacterial SSU rRNA
Rfam family: Bacterial small subunit ribosomal RNA
Source: RNAcentral
UAAGGAAUAUUGCGCAAUGGGCGAAAGCCUGACGCAGCAACGCCGCGUGCGGGAUGAAGGCCCUCGGGUUGUAAACCGCUUUCAGUAGGGAAGAAAAUGACGGUACCUACAGAAGAAGCCCCGGCCAACUACGUGCCAGCAGCCGCGGUAACACGUAGGGGGCGAGCGUUGUCCGGAUUUAUUGGGCGUAAAGAGCUCGUAGGCGGUUUCGUAAGUCGGAUGUGAAAACUCCAGGCUCAACUUGGAGACGCCAUUCGAUACUGCGAUGACUUGAGUCCGGUAGGGGAGUGUGGAAUUCCUGGUGUAGCGGUGAAAUGCGCAGAUAUCAGGAGGAACACCGGCGGCGAAGGCGGCACUCUGGGCCGGUACUGACGCUGAGGAGCGAAAGCGUGGGUAGCAAACAGG